Molecule: long non-coding RNA, 269 nt
Organism: Xenia sp. Carnegie-2017
Lineage: Eukaryota; Metazoa; Cnidaria; Anthozoa; Malacalcyonacea; Xeniidae
Exons: 2
Source: RefSeq, a predicted model, not a curated record
UCACAGCAACAAUAUCGAUAACAACACUACAUUGUUGUCAUCGACCAAUAAUAUUUAUAUUUUAUUACAAUAUGAGAAAUUUUCAAAUUUGAAAGAAUCAGGUUUUGUUUUGGAGUACAAGAAUCAACAAGUACCAACAGAACCACUACCGUCACCAAAAUCUUCAUCUGAUGAGUCAACUAUUGUCGGUGUUAUUGCUGGAGUAUCUGUGGUUGUUGUGUUUGUUAUUAUUAUUGUUGUUGUUGUUUGCUUCCGUAAAUCAAAACAAA